This 781-nucleotide ribosomal RNA is filed under the name uncultured bacterium. Its description in RNAcentral is "bacterial SSU rRNA". It matches the Rfam family "Bacterial small subunit ribosomal RNA", at positions 28 to 809 of the family's 1533-position model. The record is from RNAcentral.
GAUGAACGCUGGCGGCGUGCUUAACACAUGCAAGUCGAGCGAAGCACUUUUGCGGAUUUCUUCGGAUUGAAGCAAUUGUGACUGAGCGGCGGACGGGUGAGUAACGCGUGGGUAACCUGCCUCAUACAGGGGGAUAACAGUUGGAAACGACUGCUAAUACCGCAUAAGCGCACAGUACCGCAUGGUACGGUGUGAAAAACUCCGGUGGUAUGAGAUGGACCCGCGUCUGAUUAGGUAGUCGGUGGGGUAACGGCCUACCAAGCCGACGAUCAGUAGCCGACCUGAGAGGGUGACCGGCCACAUUGGGACUGAGACACGGCCCAAACUCCUACGGGAGGCAGCAGUGGGGAAUAUUGCACAAUGGGGGAAACCCUGAUGCAGCGACGCCGCGUGAGCGAUGAAGUAUUUCGGUAUGUAAAGCUCUAUCAGCAGGGAAGAAAAUGACGGUACCUGACUAAGAAGCCCCGGCUAACUACGUGCCAGCAGCCGCGGUAAUACGUAGGGGGCAAGCGUUAUCCGGAUUUACUGGGUGUAAAGGGAGCGUAGACGGCAUGGCAAGCCAGAUGUGAAAGCCCGGGGCUCAACCCCGGGACUGCAUUUGGAACUGUCAGGCUAGAGUGUCGGAGAGGAAAGCGGAAUUCCUAGUGUAGCGGUGAAAUGCGUAGAUAUUAGGAGGAACACCAGUGGCGAAGGCGGCUUUCUGGACGAUGACUGACGUUGAGGCUCGAAAGCGUGGGGAGCAAACAGGAUUAGAUACCCUGGUAGUCCACGCCGUAAACGA